Molecule: long non-coding RNA, 348 nt
Organism: Cyprinus carpio (common carp)
Lineage: Eukaryota; Metazoa; Chordata; Actinopteri; Cypriniformes; Cyprinidae
Exons: 3
Source: RefSeq, a predicted model, not a curated record
GUGAAGGCGCUCAAUCUUUUACUACAGGAUCCAAACUGUCAACUGAAGACACUGAGGUUUUUGAGUCCAGCUGCAGAAAAAGCACGUCAGUAUCUGACUAAUCUCCUGAAAACAAACCCAUUAGUCCUGAGAGAGCUGAAUCUCAGUGAGCGUAAACUAGGAAACUCAAACGUGAAGCAGAUCACUGCUCUACUGCAGGAUAAACACUAUACACUCAAUGCACUCUUGCUGAAUAAUAACAGUAUGACAGAUAAAGGUUGUUCUGCUGUGACUUCAGCUCUGAAAUCAAACCCAUCGAACCUUGAGAGAGCUUAACCUGAGUGGAAAUAAACUAGGAUACUCUGGAGU